CAGUCGCCGCGGGAAUACGUAGGGUGCAAGCGUUAAUCGGAAUUACUGGGCGUAAAGCGUGCGCAGGCGGUUAUAUAAGACAGAUGUGAAAUCCCCGGGCUCAACCUGGGAACUGCAUUUGUGACUGUAUAGCUAGAGUACGGCAGAGGGGGAUGGAAUUCCGCGUGUAGCAGUGAAAUGCGUAGAUAUGCGGAGGAACACCGAUGGCGAAGGCAAUCCCCUGGGCCUGUACUGACGCUCAUGCACGAAAGCGUGGGGAGCAAACAGGAUUAGAUACCCCCGUAGUCCCUGUCUCUUAUAA
RNAcentral lists this ribosomal RNA (301 nucleotides) under uncultured bacterium. Its description in RNAcentral is "partial 16S ribosomal RNA". It matches the Rfam family "Bacterial small subunit ribosomal RNA", at positions 509 to 809 of the family's 1533-position model. The record is from RNAcentral.